RNAcentral lists this ribosomal RNA (969 nucleotides) under Triticum aestivum (bread wheat). Its description in RNAcentral is "partial small subunit ribosomal RNA". The record is from RNAcentral. Lineage: Eukaryota; Viridiplantae; Streptophyta; Magnoliopsida; Poales; Poaceae.
AUGCGAAAUGAUUUUGGCGCGAAAAAUAGGUGCGCGCCUAAUGCGAAACGAUUUUGGCGCCACAUCAGCAAACAUCUUGGCGCCGCCCGUGGCAAGAAAGCAGAAGGAAACCCCCUCCCUCGCAAGACAGAGCGGAGCAGAGCAGUUCAGCGAUCCGCCGAUCUCGCCAGAAAGAAAUGGAGCCGUGGCGGAGAGGCGAGGGGUCCAGCCUCAAGAAGCCCAUGGCCCCGCCCGUGGCCUCCCUCGGCGCCGAACUCCUGGGGAAGAUACUCCGCCGCCUCCCCGACAUGGCGUCGCUCGCCAGCGCCGCCCGCGUCUGCAAGCGCUAGGGCCGCGUGGCCUCCGACCCGGCCGUCUUCCGCCGCUUCGGCUCCCUCCGCAGGCCCCCGCUCGUCGGCGUCCUCGUCACCGACCGCGGCCGCAAGAAGUCCCCCCUCUACUGCUCUGAUAUCUGCUUCAUCAAGGCCCCCUCGCGCAACAACCCCGAGCUGGCCUCCGCCGCGGCGAGCGGCGACUUCUACUUCAUGCACCACCCCGACGUCGACGACGACGACGAGUGGCGCCUCCGCGGCUGCGACGGCGGCUUCCUCCUCUUCUCCCUCGGCCGCUACAGCACGGACCUCGCCGUGUACGACCCCAUCGACCGGACCGCCGUCUUCUUCAAGCCGCCCCACGACUUCCGCCCGUUCCGCUACGCCAUCGUCGCCGACGAGGCCGACGCCUCGUUCCUGGUCAUCGCCAUACAGCCCGACCCCUGGGGCGACGACGCCUCGGUCGUCUUCUCCUCCCGCACCCGCAGCUGGGCCGAGAACGGCUCGGUGCGCUACAGAUUUGCCUGGCCCCACACCGACGGCAUUGCCGCCGGGCGGUUCGCCUACUGGCGGUCCAACACCAAGAAGGACUGUUAUUGCGAAGCGAAGGAGGAGAUAUUGGUGGUUGACACGGCAACCAUGGCGUGGUCGUACAUGA